RNAcentral lists this ribosomal RNA (279 nucleotides) under uncultured bacterium. RNAcentral describes it as "partial 16S ribosomal RNA". It matches the Rfam family "Bacterial small subunit ribosomal RNA", at positions 506 to 784 of the family's 1533-position model. The record is from RNAcentral.
UGCCAGCAGCCGCGGUAAUACGUAGGGAGCGAGCGUUAUCCGGAAUUAUUGGGCGUAAAGCGUGCGUAGGCGGUUCGUUAAGUCAAAUCUGAAAGCCCACAGCUUAACUGUGGAGGGUGAUUUGAAACUGGCGAGCUUGAGUACGGCAGAGGUUAGUGGAAUUCAAUGUGUAGCGGUGGAAUGCGUAGAUAUAGGAAGGAACACCAGUGGCGAAGGCGACACCCUGGACCAAUACUGACGCUGAUGCACGAAAGCGUGGGUAGCAAACAGGAUUAGAUA